This 468-nucleotide ribosomal RNA is filed under the name uncultured bacterium. RNAcentral's name for it is "partial 16S ribosomal RNA". It matches the Rfam family "Bacterial small subunit ribosomal RNA", at positions 28 to 507 of the family's 1533-position model. The record is from RNAcentral.
GACGAACGCUGGCGGCGUGCUUAACGCAUGCAAGUCGAACGGAAAGGCCCUGCUUUUGUGGGGUGCUCGAGUGGCGAACGGGUGAGUAACACGUGAGUAACCUGCCCUUGACUUUGGGAUAACUUCAGGAAACUGGGGCUAAUACCGGAUAGGAGCUCCUGCUGCACGGUGGGGGUUGGAAAGUUUCGGCGGUUGGGGAUGGACUCGCGGCUUAUCAGCUUGUUGGUGGGGUAGUGGCUUACCAAGGCUUUGACGGGUAGCCGGCCUGAGAGGGUGACCGGCCACAUUGGGACUGAGAUACGGCCCAGACUCCUACGGGAGGCAGCAGUGGGGAAUAUUGCACAAUGGGCGGAAGCCUGAUGCAGCAACGCCGCGUGCGGGAUGACGGCCUUCGGGUUGUAAACCGCUUUCGCCUGUGACGAAGCGUGAGUGACGGUAAUGGGUAAAGAAGCACCGGCUAACUACGUG